UACGUAGGGUGCGAGCGUUAAUCGGAAUUACUGGGCGUAAAGCGUGCGCAGGCGGUUUUGUAAGCCAGAUGUGAAAUCCCCGGGCUUAACCUGGGAAUGGCAUUUGGGACUGCAAGGCUUGAGUGCGGCAGAGGAGACUGGAAUUCCCGGUGUAGCAGUGAAAUGCGUAGAUAUCGGGAGGAAUACCGAUGGCGAAGGCAGGUCUCUGGUCCGGUACUGACGCUGAGGUGCGAAAGCGUGGGGAGCAAACAGG
RNAcentral lists this ribosomal RNA (253 nucleotides) under uncultured bacterium. RNAcentral's name for it is "partial 16S ribosomal RNA". It matches the Rfam family "Bacterial small subunit ribosomal RNA", at positions 524 to 776 of the family's 1533-position model. The record is from RNAcentral.